AAUAAAUACGUCGUUGACUUUUUCUCAUAUGUUUGACCAUUCGUCUCAUUCAAAAUAUUUAUGUAAUUAUAAUUUAUUUUUUUAGGAGUUGUUUUAUCACUCAUAGUACUUUAAGUGUGAUUUAUAUAUUAUACAUUUGCAUAAAAUUUUUGAAUAAGAUGAAUGGUCAAACAUGUGAAAAAAAGUCAACGGUGUCAUCUAUU
Oryza barthii is the source of this 203-nucleotide non-coding RNA. The record is from Rfam. Lineage: Eukaryota; Viridiplantae; Streptophyta; Magnoliopsida; Poales; Poaceae.